UAGGGAAUCUUCCGCAAUGGGCGAAAGCCUGACGGAGCAACGCCGCGUGAGUGAUGAAGGUCUUCGGAUCGUAAAACCCUGUUAUUAGGGAAGAACAAAUGUGUAAGUAACUAUGCACGUCUUGACGGUACCUAAUCAGAAAGCCACGGCUAACUACGUGCCAGCAGCCGCGGUAAUACGUAGGUGGCAAGCGUUAUCCGGAAUUAUUGGGCGUAAAGCGCGCGUAGGCGGUUUUUUAAGUCUGAUGUGAAAGCCCACGGCUCAACCGUGGAGGGUCAUUGGAAACUGGAAAACUUGAGUGCAGAAGAGGAAAGUGGAAUUCCAUGUGUAGCGGUGAAAUGCGCAGAGAUAUGGAGGAACACCAGUGGCGAAGGCGACUUUCUGGUCUGUAACUGACGCUGAUGUGCGAAAGCGUGGGGAUCAAACAGG
This 429-nucleotide ribosomal RNA is filed under the name Actinomycetes bacterium. RNAcentral describes it as "Actinobacteria bacterium partial 16S ribosomal RNA". It matches the Rfam family "Bacterial small subunit ribosomal RNA", at positions 355 to 776 of the family's 1533-position model. The record is from RNAcentral. Lineage: Bacteria; Bacillati; Actinomycetota; Actinomycetes.